AGCAGCCGCGGUAAUUCCAGCUCCAAUAGCGUAUAUUAAAGUUGUUGCAGUUAAAAAGCUCGUAGUUGAAUUUCGGGAUCAAUAUGUUGGUCGUGCCUCGGUACGUACUAGCUUAUUGGUUUCUCCUUUCUGAAGAACCAUGAUGUCAUUUAUUUGGUGUCGUGGGGAAUCAGGACUGUUACUUUGAAAAAAUUAGAGUGUUUAAAGCAGGCUCACGCUUGAAUACAUUAGCAUGGAAUAAUGAAAUAGGACGUUUGAUUCUAUUUUGUUGGUUUCUAGGAUCGACGUAAUGAUUAAUAGGGAUAGUUGGGGGCAUUAGUAUUCAAUUGUCAGAGGUGAAAUUCUUGGAUUUAUUGAAGACUAACUACUGCGAAAGCAUUUGCCAAGGAUGUUUUCAUUAAUCAAGAACGAAAGUUAGGGGAUCGAAGACGAUCAGAUACCGUCGUAGUCUUAACCAUAAACUAUGCCGACUAGGGAUCGGAUGAUGUUAAUUUUUAAUGACU
Molecule: ribosomal RNA, 503 nt
Filed under: uncultured Glomus
Lineage: Eukaryota; Fungi; Glomeromycota; Glomeromycetes; Glomerales; Glomeraceae
Description: SSU rRNA
Rfam family: Eukaryotic small subunit ribosomal RNA
Source: RNAcentral